This 450-nucleotide ribosomal RNA is filed under the name uncultured bacterium. RNAcentral's name for it is "partial 16S ribosomal RNA". It matches the Rfam family "Bacterial small subunit ribosomal RNA", at positions 354 to 796 of the family's 1533-position model. The record is from RNAcentral.
GUGGGGAAUCUUCCGCAAUGGACGAAAGUCUGACGGAGCGACGCCGCGUGAGUGAAGAAGGCCUUCGGGUCGUAAAGCUCUGUCAUCAGGGACGAACGGCCGGUGGAGUGGAAAGCCACCGGAUUGACGGUACCUGAGAAGGAAGCCACGGCUAACUACGUGCCAGCAGCCGCGGUAAUACGUAGGUGGCAAGCGUUGUCCGGAAUUAUUGGGCGUAAAGCGCGCGCAGGUGGGAUCUUAAGUCCAUUUUUAAAGUUCGGAGCUCAACUCCGUGAUGGGAUGGAAACUGGGAUUCUUGAGUACCGGAGAGGGAAGCGGAAUUCCCCGUGUAGCGGUGAAAUGCGUAGAUAUGGGGAGGAACACCAGUGGCGAAGGCGACUUUCUGGACUGUAACUGACGCUGAGGCUCGAAAGCCAGGGGAGCGAACGGGAUUAGAAACCCCAGUAGUCC